Molecule: ribosomal RNA, 406 nt
Filed under: uncultured bacterium
Lineage: Bacteria
Description: partial 16S ribosomal RNA
Rfam family: Bacterial small subunit ribosomal RNA
Source: RNAcentral
AUUGAACGCUGGCGGCAGGCUUAACACAUGCAAGUCGAGCGAGCGGCGGACGGGUGCGUAAUGUCUGGGCAACUGCCUGAUGGAGGGGGAUAACUACUGGAAACGGUAGCUAAUACCGCAUACCAUCAGAUGUGCCCAGAUGGGAUUCGCUAGUAGGUGGGGUAAUGGCUCACCUAGACGACGAUCCCUAGCUGGUCUGAGAGGAUGACCAGCCACACGGGAACUGAGACACGGUCCAGACCACUACGGGAGGCAGCAGAGGGGAGUAGUGCACAAUGGGCGCAAGCCUGAUGCAGCCAUGCCGCGUGGGUGAAGAAGGCCUUCGGGUUGUAAAGCACUUUCAGCGAGGAGGCGUUACUCGCAGAAGAAGCACCGGCUAACUCCGUGCCAGCAGCCGCGGUAAUUC